UACGGAGGGUGCAAGCGUUAAUCGGAAUUACUGGGCGUAAAGCGCGCGUAGGUGGUUUGUUAAGCUGGAUGUGAAAGCCCCGGGCUCAACCUGGGAACUGCAUCCAGAACUGGCAGGCUAGAGUACGGUAGAGGUAAGUGGAAUUUCCUGUGUAGCGGUGAAAUGCGUAGAGAUGGGAAGGAACAUCAGUGGCGAAGGCGACUUACUGGACUGAUACUGACACUGAGGUGCGAAAGCGUGGGGAGCAAACAGG
RNAcentral lists this ribosomal RNA (253 nucleotides) under uncultured bacterium. RNAcentral's name for it is "partial 16S ribosomal RNA". It matches the Rfam family "Bacterial small subunit ribosomal RNA", at positions 524 to 776 of the family's 1533-position model. The record is from RNAcentral.